Molecule: ribosomal RNA, 891 nt
Filed under: Haloferax sp. ES1D6
Lineage: Archaea; Methanobacteriati; Methanobacteriota; Halobacteria; Halobacteriales; Haloferacaceae
Description: bacterial SSU rRNA
Rfam family: Archaeal small subunit ribosomal RNA
Source: RNAcentral
UUCCGGUUGAUCCUGCCGGAGGUCAUUGCUAUUGGGGUCCGAUUUAGCCAUGCUAGUUGCACGAGUUCAACUCGUGGCGAAAAGCUCAGUAACACGUGGCCAAACUACCCUACAGAGAACGAUAACCUCGGGAAACUGAGGCUAAUAGUUCAUACGGGAGUCAUGCUGGAAUGCCGACUCCCCGAAACGCUCAGGCGCUGUAGGAUGUGGCUGCGGCCGAUUAGGUAGACGGUGGGGUAACGGCCCACCGUGCCGAUAAUCGGUACGGGUUGUGAGAGCAAGACCCGGAGACGGAAUCUGAGACAAGAUUCCGGGCCCUACGGGGCGCAGCAGGCGCGAAACCUUUACACUGCACGCAAGUGCGAUAAGGGGACCCCAAGUGCGAGGGCAUAUAGUCCUCGCUUUUCCGACUGUAAGGCGGUCGGGAAUAAGAGCUGGGCAAGACGGUGCCAGCCGCCGCGGUAAUACCGGCAGCUCAAGUGAUGACCGAUAUUAUUGGGCCUAAAGCGUCCGUAGCCGGCCACGAAGGUUCAUCGGGAAAUCCGCCAGCUCAACUGGCGGGCGUCCGGUGAAAACCACGUGGCUUGGGACCGGAAGGCUCGAGGGGUACGUCCGGGGUAGGAGUGAAAUCCGUAAUCCUGGACGGACCACCGAUGGCGAAAGCACCUCGAGAAGACGGAUCCGACGGUGAGGGACGAAAGCUAGGGUCUCGAACCGGAUUAGAUACCCGGGUAGUCCUAGCUGUAAACGAUGCUCGCUAGGUGUGACACAGGCUACGAGCCUGUGUUGUGCCGUAGGGAAGCCGAGAAGCGAGCCGCCUGGGAAGUACGUCCGCAAGGAUGAAACUUAAAGGAAUUGGCGGGGGAGCACUACAACCGGAGGAGCCUGCGG